Molecule: ribosomal RNA, 253 nt
Filed under: uncultured bacterium
Lineage: Bacteria
Description: partial 16S ribosomal RNA
Rfam family: Bacterial small subunit ribosomal RNA
Source: RNAcentral
UACGUAGGAGGCAAGCGUUGUCCGGAAUUACUGGGUGUAAAGGGCGGGUAGGCGGUACUGCAAGUCAGAUGUGAAAUUCCCAGGCUCAACCUGGGGGCUGCAUCUGAUACUGUGGGCCUUGAGUGCUGGAGAGGAUAGCGGAAGUCCUAGUGUGACGGUGAAAUGCGUAGAUAUUAGGAGGAACACCAGUGGCGAAGGCGGCUUUCUGGAAAGUAACUGCCGCUGAGGCGCGAAAGCGUGGGGAGCAAACAGG